CUGACGAGUGGCGGACGGGUGAGUAAUGUCUGGGAAACUGCCUGAUGGAGGGGGAUAACUACUGGAAACGGUAGCUAAUACCGCAUAACGUCGCAAGACCAAAGAGGGGGACCUUCGGGCCUCUUGCCAUCGGAUGUGCCCAGAUGGGAUUAGCUUGUUGGUGGGGUAACGGCUCACCAAGGCGACGAUCCCUAGCUGGUCUGAGAGGAUGACCAGCCACACUGGAACUGAGACACGGUCCAGACUCCUACGGGAGGCAGCAGUGGGGAAUAUUGCACAAUGGGCGCAAGCCUGAUGCAGCCAUGCCGCGUGUAUGAAGAAGGCCUUCGGGUUGUAAAGUACUUUCAGCGGGGAGGAAGGGAGUAAAGUUAAUACCUUUGCUCAUUGACGUUACCCGCAGAAGAAGCACCGGCUAACUCCGUGCCAGCAGCCGCGGUAAUACGGAGGGUGCAAGCGUAAUCGGAAUACUGGGCGUAAAGCGCACGCAGGCGGUUUGUUAAGUCAGAUGU
RNAcentral lists this ribosomal RNA (509 nucleotides) under uncultured Escherichia sp. Its description in RNAcentral is "bacterial SSU rRNA". It matches the Rfam family "Bacterial small subunit ribosomal RNA", at positions 88 to 595 of the family's 1533-position model. Lineage: Bacteria; Pseudomonadati; Pseudomonadota; Gammaproteobacteria; Enterobacterales; Enterobacteriaceae. The record is from RNAcentral.